Molecule: RNA transcript, 1400 nt
Organism: Biomphalaria glabrata
Lineage: Eukaryota; Metazoa; Mollusca; Gastropoda; Planorbidae
Gene name: mitogen-activated protein kinase kinase kinase 12-like
Exons: 6
Source: RefSeq, a predicted model, not a curated record
AAGAAUAUCUACAAUGGCCAAACUGAUAGGCCUAACAAGUGUUUGUGUUUGUAAAAAAUAAUAGUAGUUAAGUAGUGAAUAAUUUUUUUUUUUUUUUUUUUAUUGCAAUAGGGACAAAAUGAGCAGGCCAAAUCUACACUUAUCUUGUAGUUAGUUAAGCACCACUAGUGAUCUGCUGAGUAGUUCUAUUCAUUUAUUUUAUAUUCCAGUCAUCUCCCCUGCAUUGUUAGCCAUCCAUUCUUGAAAUUCUUUUGUUUUGAUCUCUUGCUAUGUCUUGCUUUGUCACAAGAUUAUAAGAAGUUAUUUGCUGCAACUGAACUAGAUACUUUUAUGUUUGUUUUUAGGUACUUCUUAUGGUGAAGAGUGGUUCAGGCAAGACCAGUAUGUGGUCCAUAUUACUUGCUAAUACUAUUGCAAGGGACAUAAGAAGAAUAGGUGUAACAAUUUCCUCUUCUGAUGAUUGGGAAAUUACAUUUGAAAGUAUCACAGAUCUCCAGUGGCUAGGAAGUGGAGCCCAUGGGCCUGUGUUUCUUGGCAAACUCUGUAAUGAAAAAGUAGCUGUCAAGAAGGUCAAAGAUGUUAAAGAGACAGACAUUCAGAACUUAAGGAAACUGAAUCACCCCAACAUUAUAGCCUUCAAUGUUCUUGUGGCAUCCAAUGAUAUUGUCAGGAACCAGCGGAGAGUGGAAUGAAAAAAAAAAGCACUAAAAUGUCAUUUGCUGGCACUGUGGCCUGAAUGGCAUCAGAAGUCAUUUGAAAUAAAAUGUGCAGUGAAAUGAAAAAGUAGACAUUUGGAGUGCAAAGCUCAAAAAUAGACCAUCAUUUAGACAAAUUCUCAUGCACCUUGAGAUUGCCUCUGCUAAAUUACUUUGGUUCAGUUGGGAGGACUUUUCUGAAUCUCAAUGAAGUCCUUAACUGAAAGACACAGAUUCUGUCAUUAUCAUCAAGAUAUUCUAAGAAAGGAUCUGAGGUGAGAACAAUUACUGACUAUGUACAAUAACAGUAGUAAGAGUAUAAUUUGUCCAAUCAUAAAAGUUCUAGAAAAGCUAGAUCGACUUGGUAAAAAAACUGACACAUAGGUCAGAGUCUGAAGUCACCAUGCCUGACUCUAUAAAAAACACAGAAGGGAGCAUGAUAACCAGGUCUAAGCUGGUACCACCACCUCCUACGAAAAUGCGUGCCAGGAAGUCUCGUCAUCGUCGCAAAAACAGCAGAGGGUCUAUGAAAGACAUUACCUCUCCGCUCAAAUCUCAAUCUACAUAUGAAGCUUCACUGGACACCCAAACAUCAGACAAACUAAACCCUGCAGGGCUUCAUCCUACAGACCUAUGCUAAGAUAUUAAACUUUUUGGGACCUGCCACUGCAAUCAGGGAGUAUCGAAGUGAAGAUGAAGCUGAUG